RNAcentral lists this ribosomal RNA (500 nucleotides) under uncultured Candidatus Poseidoniales archaeon. RNAcentral describes it as "bacterial SSU rRNA". It matches the Rfam family "Archaeal small subunit ribosomal RNA", at positions 539 to 1039 of the family's 1478-position model. The record is from RNAcentral. Lineage: Archaea; Methanobacteriati; Thermoplasmatota; Candidatus Poseidoniia; Candidatus Poseidoniales.
CUGUGGGUAAAUCAACCAGCUUAACUGGUUGAAUUCUGCAGAGACUGCCAGACUAGGGACCGGGAGAGGUGUGGGGUACUCUAGGGGUAGGGGUAAAAUCCUGUCAUCCUUAGAGGACCACCAGUUGCGAAGGCGCCACACUAGAACGGAUCCGACGGUCAGGGACGAAGCCUAGGGGCACGAACCGGAUUAGAUACCCGGGUAGUCCUAGGUGUAAACGCUGUGAACUUGGUGUCGGGAGUCCGCAAUGGGCCCCCGGUGCCGGAGUGAAGAUGUUAAGUUCACUGCCUGGGGAGUACGGUCGCAAGGAUGAGACUUAAAGGAAUUGGCGGGGGAGCACUGCAACGGGAGGAGCGUGCGGUUUAAUUGGAUUCAACGCCGGAAAACUCACCAGGGCCGACUGUUAGAUGAAGACCAGCGUAAUGAGCUUGUCGGAUUUUCAGAGAGGUGGUGCAUGGCCGUCGUCAGUUCGUACUGUAAAGCGUUCUGUUAAGUCAGAU